UACGUAGGGGGCAAGCGUUAUCCGGAAUUACUGGGUGUAAAGGGUGAGUAGGCGGCAUGGUAAGCCAGAUGUGAAAGCCUUGGGCUUAACCCGAGGAUUGCAUUUGGAACUAUCAAGCUAGAGUACAGGAGAGGAAAGCGGAAUUCCUAGUGUAGCGGUGGAAUGCGUAGAUAUUAGGAAGAACACCAGUGGCGAAGGCGGCUUUCUGGACUGAAACUGACGCUGAGGCACGAAAGCGUGGGGAGCGAACAGG
RNAcentral lists this ribosomal RNA (253 nucleotides) under uncultured bacterium. RNAcentral describes it as "partial 16S ribosomal RNA". It matches the Rfam family "Bacterial small subunit ribosomal RNA", at positions 524 to 776 of the family's 1533-position model. The record is from RNAcentral.